This 301-nucleotide ribosomal RNA is filed under the name uncultured bacterium. RNAcentral's name for it is "partial 16S ribosomal RNA". It matches the Rfam family "Bacterial small subunit ribosomal RNA", at positions 509 to 807 of the family's 1533-position model. The record is from RNAcentral.
CAGUAGCCGCGGUAAUACGAAGGGUGCAAGCGUUACUCGGAAUUACUGGGCGUAAAGCGUGCGCAGGCGGUUGUGCAAGACAGAUGUGAAAUCCCCGAGCUUAACUUGGGAACUGCAUUUGUGACUACACGGCUAGAGUGUGUCAGAGGGGGGUAGAAUUCCACGUGUAGUAGUGAAAUGCGUAGAUAUGUGGAGGAAUACCGAUGGCGAAGGCAGCCCCCUGGGAUAACACUGACGCUCAUGCACGAAAGCGUGGGGAGCAAACAGGAUUAGAUACCCCUGUAGUCCCUGUCUCUUAUAC